Cyprinus carpio (common carp) is the source of this 1142-nucleotide long non-coding RNA. The record is from Ensembl. Lineage: Eukaryota; Metazoa; Chordata; Actinopteri; Cypriniformes; Cyprinidae.
AUGGAGAGGAUGGAGGUGGACCAGUGCGCAGGCGCAGGAGGAGCCCUCCGAAGGUCCAACAGCGCCCCCAUGAUCACGAACGUCAGUGAUGGGACGACAGUAUUCAGCUCUAAUAGUUCGGCUCGGUAUCGUCGGAGCAGCGUUUCUGUGAACCCGAGCUGUCCCUCACGGAUCCUUCCUCUGUCCCCAUUCUCGCUGUCUUGUGAGAGAUCCGAACACAAGAGACAGAUUGAGAAUAUGGAACUCACUUUGAGAGGAAGUUUACAGAGACUAAGUGCCUCGCCUGCUGUUCACUUCCCUCCUGCGAGUCAUUGGCAUGACCAUCUGUCUCCAGGAUUCCAUUCCCAGGACAGCGGUGUCACUCCUAAUUCCUCACCCAGUCCAACUCGAAGGUUUCGAGGAGGAUCCGUGAGCUCUGGAGUGAGAUGGCCAUCAGUUGCACCUUUGAAAAGGAAAGGUGGAGUGGAAUCGGACGGUCCGCCCAAAAAGCUCUUUGUUGCUGGAGUCACAGACCCUGCUCACAUAACCAGUUACACAGUCAGUGUUUCCCAGCCAGUGGACUCUUCUUCUGGGACUGCUCCUGUUGGUUCAAACACCCAGGCCACCCCCCUGUCCCUCUCCCCUCCGCCCCCCUUCACCUCUCACCACCCCAGCAUCUAAACCCCAGUAUUCAUCACAUCAUCACCUUGUAGAGCUUCGGAUGCAAGGUGUUGUAAAAUGAAGACCAAACUUCAGCCUAAUCUCAUUUCUAUCCCUUUUUGUUUUCUGCUUUUAAUUUGGUGCUUUGAAUAGAGUAUUUCAGCUCAAUCACUUCUGAAGGAAAUUCGAACUAGUUGUUACUUUGGUAUCAAGAUGCAAUAUAAGAAGACAAAAUCUUCUGGAUGUAUCUGACAUGUCAACGUGGAUGCUGCAGGCUAUCGUGUAAUUUGUGAAUAAUUAUGGAACUUUGUUUGCUGUAUAUAUGAAAUAGUAUCUGCAAUAACACAUUUGCAAUGAAAGUGUUCAGGUAGUUGAAACCUGGCGAAUACUGACACAAAGACCUUAGUGUACAGACUCAAAAGAAAGACCAGUUUUGCUCCUUUUCGUUUUCCUCGAGUUGUGGCAAAACAUUUUUGUAUUUUGGUACAUCUUCAGCUUCCAUU